CUGGGGUUUUAACUCAGGGCCUUGUGCUUGCUAGGCAGGUGCUCCACCACUUGAGCCAACCUGCCAGCAGAUUUGAUAAUUUGAUAUAAAUGUUUAGUAAAUAAAACUAAGCUUGGUACCAAUGAUUCUAACAAUGGCCAUAAUUAUGAAGACAUUACACCUUUGUGUUUUAAAAGUCUGUGUCAUCAUAAUUGUAAAGACUUUUAUUCAGCAUAAUACUAUGUAGGUUGUUUUCUAUUUUUGACAAAAUCUUGACACUAAUAAUAAUAACUAGCAAUUAUUUAGUAUCUAGUAUGCACUGGGUACUUGACUAGACUGUUUCAUUUAUUCACUCAUUUGUUCAUUUCUUCCCCAAAUAUUCAGCAACUCUAUGCAGCAAAUAUUAUGCCAGGCAUUAAAAAUAUAAUGAUGAAAAAGCUAAAAUUAUACAGAUGAAGAAGUUCUAAAGAUGAAAAAGUCAGUUAUUGAGGGGCAAUUGAAGAAGGAGCAGGUUUACUACUCAGGUCAACCAAGGUCCCUUGGGCUAAAGUUUGGGACCAUGACAUGGGUCAAGCCUCAGCCCAUGCUUUGGACCCGUGAAUGAGUUGGACAAGGCAACAACUACUGUGAAACACUGGUUGGUAUAUAUAUUGAUAGGCCUGGUAUAAAAAUCAAUUACUAUAAAUAAAAAAACAUGAAUGUAACGAAAAAUCA
Long non-coding RNA from Castor canadensis (American beaver), 693 nucleotides. The record is from Ensembl. Lineage: Eukaryota; Metazoa; Chordata; Mammalia; Rodentia; Castoridae.